GGUGAGUAACACGUGAGCAACCUGCCCUGGACUCUGGGAUAAGCGCUGGAAACGGCGUCUAAUACUGGAUAUGAGCUCUCAUCGCAUGGUGGGGGUUGGAAAGAUUUUUCGGUCUGGGAUGGGCUCGCGGCCUAUCAGCUUGUUGGUGAGGUAAUGGCUCACCAAGGCGUCGACGGGUAGCCGGCCUGAGAGGGUGACCGGCCACACUGGGACUGAGACACGGCCCAGACUCCUACGGGAGGCAGCAGUGGGGAAUAUUGCACAAUGGGCGGAAGCCUGAUGCAGCAACGCCGCGUGAGGGAUGACGGCCUUCGGGUUGUAAACCUCUUUUAGCAGGGAAGAAGCGAGAGUGACGGUACCUGCAGAAAAAGCGCCGGCUAACUACGUGCCAGCAGCCGCGGUAAUACGUAGGGCGCAAGCGUUAUCCGGAAUUAUUGGGCGUAAAGAGCUCGUAGGCGGUUUGUCGCGUCUGCUGUGAAAUCCCGAGGCUCAACCUCGGGCCUGCAGUGGGUACGGGCAGACUAGAGUGCGGUAGGGGAGAUUGGAAUUCCUGGUGUAGCGGUGGAAUGCGCAGAUAUCAGGAGGAACACCGAUGGCGAAGGCAGAUCUCUGGGCCGUAACUGACGCUGAGGAGCGAAAGGGUGGGGAGCAAACAGGCUUAGAUACCCUGGUAGUCCACCCCGUAAACGUUGGGAACUAGUUGUGGGGACCAUUCCACGGUUUCCGUGACG
This 731-nucleotide ribosomal RNA is filed under the name Microbacterium aurantiacum. Its description in RNAcentral is "partial 16S ribosomal RNA". It matches the Rfam family "Bacterial small subunit ribosomal RNA", at positions 105 to 848 of the family's 1533-position model. Lineage: Bacteria; Bacillati; Actinomycetota; Actinomycetes; Micrococcales; Microbacteriaceae. The record is from RNAcentral.